GGACAUUUCAGCUAUCCAAAAGGCGACGACCGAUAUUCUCAAGAGCAUUCCGAAAAAUGACCUUAAACACUCAUUUGAAAUGCUAACCGGGCUAAACGCUGUAUCGAAGCACAAGGCAACAAUAAAAAAAUACCUUGUACGAGUAUGUAUACAAAUAUGUGCUGUAUGGGUUUUCACAGAGAUAUUGAUGAGAAGAUCUCGAAUGUACGUUGAUAAAACCACUUGUCAUCUGUAUGUACGAUUACAGAGGGAAGUACGAUGAUAUAUGGCUAAAAUUACUUACACAGAAUGUUGCCAGGGUACAACAAUCAAAAUGGUCCGUUAAUUCAAGUAAUUGAAUAUCGCUACACAACUUCUGAUGGCUAGAGAUGUGGGCAAUUUUUGUGCGUGUGUGACCUCUCACGGUCGCCAAAUUAUGUUUCAGCCCAAGACUAGAUUAAUGAUAAGUUAACAAUUCGAUUGUAUUUAACAUAAGUACAGAGGGAUAUGCAGACGAUAUUGACAUCAAAGGCCUUAACAACUGCCUUUUCAAGCCUGGAAAAAGAAGCGAAAAAGGUUGGUCUUCUGGAGAACGAGAGGAAGGCAAAGUACCUGGGAGCCACUUAUAAUUAUUCAUCGCGUCUUGAGAACCACGUCACGAGUGGUGGCUAAAAAUAUGAAAAAGUUAAGGAGUUUCUAUAUCUGAGGAACAGCAGCCUAAGCCUAGAGAUAAAGCGCAGAAUAACUCUUGCAAACAGGUUCUCCUUUGGGAUCGGUAGGUAAUUAAUAAGCAGGAACGUCUCUCGAUGAACAAAAAUUACACUUUAUAAGUCUCUCAUUAUUCCCGUUCUAUAUGUGGAGCAUUCUUGAGAACUAUUCUUUGCAAGAUUAUCUGAGCCGUCCGCGUGGGCGAUGAGUAUCGAAGAAAAUGGAGCCACAAUCUGAGUGACCAUAUGGCGACAUGGACAUAAUUAUGAGCCCAUGUCGUUCGUAGUGAAGAUGAUGCUCCCGUGAAAAGCUCCUUGGCCAACGGAAGCAAGGGCGCCUACCCUUCCAAUAGAAGGACCAAGUGCACAGUGCUAAAGAAAUUCUAUGUAAAGUCGAAUCUAA
Molecule: long non-coding RNA, 1089 nt
Organism: Bactrocera dorsalis (oriental fruit fly)
Lineage: Eukaryota; Metazoa; Arthropoda; Insecta; Diptera; Tephritidae
Exons: 4
Source: RefSeq, a predicted model, not a curated record